This 522-nucleotide ribosomal RNA is filed under the name Triticum aestivum (bread wheat). RNAcentral describes it as "partial small subunit ribosomal RNA". The record is from RNAcentral. Lineage: Eukaryota; Viridiplantae; Streptophyta; Magnoliopsida; Poales; Poaceae.
AUGUUGCGUGAGAGGUGUGGUCUUCGUGCUAGUGUGUAUGUGGAUGUGGAAGAAAAGGUUGCCAUGUUCUUGCUAGUAGUGGGUCACGGUCUGAAGAUGAGGUUGCUUCGAGGCACAUACAAGCGGUCUUUGGGAACUAUAAGUACUCACUUUUCCGCUGUGUUAAGAGCCAUUCUAUCUAUGCAUGGGGAGUUCAUUAAGCUUCCAGAUGCUAAUGUUCAACCUCCCGAUGACUACAAAUGGAAGUGGUUUGGUGAUGCACUAGGAGCAUUAGAUGGAUGUCAUGUAGAUGUUUCCGUUCCUGUGGCUUCCCAAGGGUGGUAAAGGAAUAGAAAGCAAGAUAUCACUACUAACAUGCUUGGUGUGGUGGAUUGGAACAUGAAAUUUAUGUAUGUCUUACCUGGCUGGGAGGGUUCCGCUUCAGACUCUAGAGUCCUACGCGGCUCCAUGAGAACUAAUCGCCAAGAUGCAUUUGUUGUACCUCAUGGUAUGGCUUUUUCUCUUGGCCUUUUGUUCUCUUAA